RNAcentral lists this ribosomal RNA (501 nucleotides) under uncultured bacterium. RNAcentral describes it as "partial 16S ribosomal RNA". It matches the Rfam family "Bacterial small subunit ribosomal RNA", at positions 30 to 523 of the family's 1533-position model. The record is from RNAcentral.
AUUGAACGCUGGCGGCAGGCUUAACACAUGCAAGUCGAGCGGUGAAAGGUAGCUUGCUACCUGACCUAGCGGCGGACGGGUGAGUAAUGCUUAGGAAUCUGCCUAUUAGUGGGGGACAACAUUCCGAAAGGAAUGCUAAUACCGCAUACGCCCUACGGGGGAAAGCAGGGGAUCUUCGGACCUUGCGCUAAUAGAUGAGCCUAAGUCAGAUUAGCUAGUUGGUGGGGUAAAGGCCUACCAAGGCGACGAUCUGUAGCGGGUCUGAGAGGAUGAUCCGCCACACUGGGACUGAGACACGGCCCAGACUCCUACGGGAGGCAGCAGUGGGGAAUAUUGGACAAUGGGCGAAAGCCUGAUCCAGCCAUGCCGCGUGUGUGAAGAAGGCCUUUUGGUUGUAAAGCACUUUAAGCGAGGAGGAGGCUACUUGGAUUAAUACUCUAGGAUAGUGGACGUUACUCGCAGAAUAAGCACCGGCUAACUCUGUGCCAGCAGCCGCGGUAA